Molecule: ribosomal RNA, 1958 nt
Filed under: Salmonella enterica
Lineage: Bacteria; Pseudomonadati; Pseudomonadota; Gammaproteobacteria; Enterobacterales; Enterobacteriaceae
Description: partial 23S ribosomal RNA
Rfam family: Bacterial large subunit ribosomal RNA
Source: RNAcentral
AGUGGGAGCCCCACCACUAAGCCAGUGGUGAACUCCACAUACGCAUCCUUUGCUGAGGAUACGGUUAACGGAGCGAAAGCGACGUUCAACCUCAAAAGAAGCAGAGGGGGCUUAGUGGUGGGGUGACUGCGUACCUUUUGUAUAAUGGGUCAGCGACUUAUAUUCUGUAGCAAGGUUAACCGAAUAGGGGAGCCGGAGGGAAACCGAGUCUUAACCGGGCGUUAAGUUGCAGGGUAUAGACCCGAAACCCGGUGAUCUAGCCAUGGGCAGGUUGAAGGUUGGGUAACACUAACUGGAGGACCGAACCGACUAAUGUUGAAAAAUUAGCGGAUGACCUGUGGCUGGGGGUGAAAGGCCAAUCAAACCGGGAGAUAGCUGGUUCUCCCCGAAAGCUAUUUAGGUAGCGCCUCGUGAAUUCAUCUCCGGGGGUAGAGCACUGUUUCGGCUAGGGGGUCAUCCCGACUUACCAACCCGAUGCAAACUGCGAAUACCGGAGAAUGUUAUCACGGGAGACACACGGCGGGUGCUAACGUCCGUCGUGAAGAGGGAAACAACCCAGACCGCCAGCUAAGGUCCCAAAGUCAUGGUUAAGUGGGAAACGAUGUGGGAAGGCCCAGACAGCCAGGAUGUUGGCUUAGAAGCAGCCAUCAUUUAAAGAAAGCGUAAUAGCUCACUGGUCGAGUCGGCCUGCGCGGAAGAUGUAACGGGGCUAAACCAUGCACCGAAGCUGCGGCAGCGACACUAUGUGUUGUUGGGUAGGGGAGCGUUCUGUAAGCCUGCGAAGGUGUCUCGUGAGGGAUGCUGGAGGUAUCAGAAGUGCGAAUGCUGACAUAAGUAACGAUAAUGCGGGUGAAAAACCCGCACGCCGGAAGACCAAGGGUUCCUGUCCAACGUUAAUCGGGGCAGGGUGAGUCGACCCCUAAGGCGAGGCCGAAAGGCGUAGUCGAUGGGAAACAGGUUAAUAUUCCUGUACUUGGUGUUACUGCGAAGGGGGGACGGAGAAGGCUAUGUUGGCCGGGCGACGGUUGUCCCGGUUUAAGCGUGUAGGUGUGUGUUCCAGGUAAAUCCGGUUCACUUUAACACUGAGGCGUGAUGACGAGGCACUACGGUGCUGAAGCAACAAAUGCCCUGCUUCCAGGAAAAGCCUCUAAGCAUCAGGUAACAUCAAAUCGUACCCCAAACCGACACAGGUGGUCAGGUAGAGAAUACCAAGGCGCUUGAGAGAACUCGGGUGAAGGAACUAGGCAAAAUGGUGCCGUAACUUCGGGAGAAGGCACGCUGAUAUGUAGGUGAAGUGGUUUACCCAUGGAGCUGAAAUCAGUCGAAGAUACCAGCUGGCUGCAACUGUUUAUUAAAAACACAGCACUGUGCAAACACGAAAGUGGACGUAUACGGUGUGACGCCUGCCCGGUGCCGGAAGGUUAAUUGAUGGGGUUAUCCGUAAGGAGAAGCUCUUGAUCGAAGCCCCGGUAAACGGCGGCCGUAACUAUAACGGUCCUAAGGUAGCGAAAUUCCUUGUCGGGUAAGUUCCGACCUGCACGAAUGGCGUAAUGAUGGCCAGGCUGUCUCCACCCGAGACUCAGUGAAAUUGAACUCGCUGUGAAGAUGCAGUGUACCCGCGGCAAGACGGAAAGACCCCGUGAACCUUUACUAUAGCUUGACACUGAACACUGGUCCUUGAUGUGCAGGAUAGGUGGGAGGCUUUGAAGCGCGGACGCCAGUUCGUGUGGAGCCAUCCUUGAAAUACCACCCUUUAAUGGCUGGUGUUCUAACGUAGACCCGUGAUCCGGGUUGCGGACAGUGUCUGGUGGGUAGUUUGACUGGGGCGGUCUCCUCCUAAAGAGUAACGGAGGAGCACGAAGGUUAGCUAAUCCUGGUCGGACAUCAGGAGGUUAGUGCAAAGGCAUAAGCUAGCUUGACUGCGAGCGUGACGGCGCGAGCAGGUGCGAAAGCAGGUC